AUAACAUAAUAACCAACAAGACUUGCCCAUAAUUCUGAAUAGCUCUCCACUGCCUUAGCCCAAUUCAAACAUCUCAAAGAGUGACAAGCUAACUUGAAAGAUUUUAUAUAACGAUGGAAUGAGCUAAAAACAGCUUAGCAAGUGAUAAAGCAUAUUCAGAACAAAAGGAACGGUUUCAAACAAGUAAGAUAUCAUAAUGCAAGGCAGAAUA
Molecule: long non-coding RNA, 211 nt
Filed under: Musa acuminata (dwarf banana)
Lineage: Eukaryota; Viridiplantae; Streptophyta; Magnoliopsida; Zingiberales; Musaceae
Description: long non-coding RNA (MACU_LNC003321)
Source: RNAcentral